ACAAAGAUAGUUUUACUAGAACUUGGUUUGGAAAACUUUGAAUAACCAAGUUCACUUUUUGUCAUUGGAAUAUCUUUGUUGGAUAAGUGCUCUAAUGAUGAUAUGGAUGAAACUAUAUGAAUGUGUAUGAAAAUUCUGUAAAUAGUUUCACCAGAAAAUUUGAUCAAGAACACUUGAAAUAAUUUUGAAAAGAUGAAUGAAGAAGAUUGUUUGAAAAUAUUUUAUGAGAAAGGAGGUGUAUUCAAAAUCUGC
RNAcentral lists this long non-coding RNA (252 nucleotides) under Lathyrus oleraceus (garden pea). RNAcentral's name for it is "Pisum sativum (pea) long non-coding RNA (PSAT_LNC002315)". The record is from RNAcentral. Lineage: Eukaryota; Viridiplantae; Streptophyta; Magnoliopsida; Fabales; Fabaceae.